Molecule: ribosomal RNA, 253 nt
Filed under: uncultured bacterium
Lineage: Bacteria
Description: partial 16S ribosomal RNA
Rfam family: Bacterial small subunit ribosomal RNA
Source: RNAcentral
UACAGAGGGUGCAAGCGUUAAUCGGAAUUACUGGGCGUAAAGCGUGCGUAGACGGUUAUUUAAGUCGGGUGUGAAAGCCCCGGGCUCAACCUGGGAAUUGCAUUCGAGACUGAAUAGCUAGGGUGCGGAAGAGGGAAGCGGAAUUUCCGGUGUAGCGGUGAAAUGCGUAGAUAUCGGGAGGAACACCAGUGGCGAAGGCGACUACCUGGCCUGUUCUUGACGCUGAGGCGCGAAAGCUAGGGGAGCAAACGGG